GCCCUGGCCCGUGUGGCUCAGCGGUUAGAGCGUCAACCUAUGAACCAGAAGGUCCCGGGUUCGAUUCCCGGUCAGGGCA
This is a non-coding RNA of Eptesicus fuscus (big brown bat), 79 nucleotides long. The record is from the annotation of a RefSeq genome assembly. Lineage: Eukaryota; Metazoa; Chordata; Mammalia; Chiroptera; Vespertilionidae.